GAACGGGUGAGUAACGCGUGAGGAACCUGCCUCAAAGAGGGGGACAACAGUUGGAAACGACUGCUAAUACCGCAUAAGCCCACGGGUCGGCAUCGACCUGAGGGAAAAGGAGCAAUCCGCUUUGAGAUGGCCUCGCGUCCGAUUAGCUAGUUGGUGAGGUAAUGGCCCACCAAGGCGACGAUCGGUAGCCGGACUGAGAGGUUGAACGGCCACAUUGGGACUGAGACACGGCCCAG
Molecule: ribosomal RNA, 236 nt
Filed under: uncultured bacterium
Lineage: Bacteria
Description: partial 16S ribosomal RNA
Rfam family: Bacterial small subunit ribosomal RNA
Source: RNAcentral